RNAcentral lists this long non-coding RNA (1810 nucleotides) under Sus scrofa (pig). RNAcentral describes it as "lncRNA (ENSSSCG00005044428.1)". The record is from RNAcentral. Lineage: Eukaryota; Metazoa; Chordata; Mammalia; Artiodactyla; Suidae.
GUGGCAGCAGGCCCUGGACUUCUGUACUGCACACAGCCCUGAGGCUGGAUGGCAGAGAAACAAGAAAAUGGACUCCUUCCUCCUGGAGACAAGAAUGCCAGCCACCAGCCAUGGCACUGAACAGUGCAGUGACUGGACAGGACAGCAGAAUGAGCUUUAUCCCACGUGAGCCUUUUUUUGGAACAGCACUCAGGAGUUCCACGCUGUUUGCCGAACCACAACUGUUGCUACAGAUGAUCAGCCUUGAAAGGAAUGGAAAAUCAAGGCUAAUAGGCAAUUUAGGAUCGGAGGACAUCCUCUGACCUAUCAUUACAGCCCAGGAAGAUGAACCAGUGGUUGUGGACGGAGGCUGGAAGACACCAUCGUCAGGACCUGGCUGGACCUGAGAGGAUCUGAAGGGGCAGAAGGACACAUGCAAAUACCUGGGACCCGCUCUGCUUGGCUCUCACAGGGUGUUGAUUCAGCUGGAGUUUGCAUCCCAGCAUCCCCUCCUCAGGGCUGUGUGUAUUUACUGAUUACCUGCCAUAUGCCUGGCCCCUUCAGAAUACAGGAAGAAAAUGGCCUUCAGUGGUGGCUGAGACAGAGCCUUGUGGGGUGCACACCUGGGAGUCCAAGGCCGCAAGAUGAGGCUUUCCUGACUCUGCCUCCUAGGGUGCUGAUGUUUCUAAGCUGGCAAGCUUGUUUUAUUCAUCCCUGUUUCUCUAGCCUGGAAUAGGCCAUAGAUGACAGUUAAUAAAUCUUUUGCGUGUGAGCAAAUGUGCAGAGUGUAUGCUAUAGAGAGUAAGGCCCCGUUGGAUCCCAGAGAGGCAGCCUGCCAGGUGCCCUGCCUCUCUGGUCCAUCUCCAGACAUCCCAGCCAGCAGGAGCAGACUUCCUCAGGAGGUACCUAGGGCUCUGGUCCAGCGGCAGCCAAUCAGGUACUGAAGACCAUCCUUUUUUCUUCUCCAAGUUAAAUAUCACUGGUUUCCAUGACUGUUUGUCCCAUAGCCCUCAGUAUUCGGAUUACCCAGUCUGGAGAGACAAUAAAAGUAUCCACACAUGGUCUAAAGAGGCAGAGCCAUGGAUGCAGAUGGCAAAUUUGGAUUAGUAUGCUUUGGCAGUCAGCAUAUUCAAGUUGUGGAUGGUGAUAUCUGCUGUCUUGGCCUCUGACAUGGUACUGGGUUGCUGCUGAGCAUCUUUCUUUCUUUGGUGUGCUCAUGGCCUUUAUAUAGACACUUUUUGGACAUAAAACCCCAAGCUGUAGCCCUUGUUAUCCAGUGUUAUAUUCCUCCUCAACUCUCCUGGAGACUCCCUGAGAGCUGGCUAAAGGUAGGCACUCCGUAGAUAUUAGCUGCUAUUAUUUACUUUAUUGGUUUUUUAAUUGAAUGAACAAUCAUGAACUUAUUGUCAUUUAUUGAGCAUGUCCUAUGUUUCAAGCACUGCUUGGUGUGGGAAUAUAGCAGUGAAUAGAAUAGGCCUGUUCUUGCCCCCCAGAACUUCCCAGACACUCCAGGAAGAUGUGAACUCAUUGCGACCCACACCACCUCCACCAGACAGUCAUUGAGUGCUCUCUGGUGUGUUCAACUCAGAAUAGAUCCUGGAGUUCCCGUCGUGGUGCAGUGGUUAACGAAUCCGACUAGGAACCAUGAGGUUGCGGGUUCGAUCCCUGCCCUUGCUCAGUGGAUUGAUGAUCCGGCGUUGCCGUGAGCUGUGGUGUAGGUUGCAGACUCGGCUCGGAUCCCGCAUUGCUGUGGCUCUGGCGUAGGCCGGUGGCUACAGCUCUGAUUCAACCCCUAGCCUGGGAACCUCCAUAUGCCACAGGAGCGGCCCAA